This 26-nucleotide non-coding RNA is filed under the name Cricetulus griseus (Chinese hamster). The record is from RNAcentral. Lineage: Eukaryota; Metazoa; Chordata; Mammalia; Rodentia; Cricetidae.
AGAACAAAUGUAAAAGUUAAAGACGC